Molecule: unclassified non-coding RNA, 345 nt
Filed under: uncultured fungus
Lineage: Eukaryota; Fungi
Description: sequence contains ITS2
Source: RNAcentral
AACGCAUCUUGCGCUUUUGGGUAUCCCUGAAAGCAUACCUUUCUGAGUAUCGUUUCAACCCCCUCCACGCGGCGUGCAUUUAUUUGUACGAUCCGUUUGUGGGUAAAUGGAUGUUUGGCUGACGCCAAUCAUCUGAAACGCAUUCAGUUUCAGUAUCUUCGACCGCUAAAACUCGUUUUUGGCGCGUUGACGAUGUUUGAUAAUUGACCUUUGGUCAUUACUCUAUCACAUCGGCAAUGUAGAAGAACCACUGCAAAUUGUUUCAAGGCCCAAGAAUGACAAAACGCAAGUUUUGAAUUUCUUAAUCUUGAUCUCAGAUAAAGUAAGAGAACCCGCCGAAUUUAA